AGACCCGAAACCCGGUGAUCUAGCCAUGGGCAGGUUGAAGGUUGGGUAACACUAACUGGAGGACCGAACCGACUAAUGUUGAAAAAUUAGCGGAUGACCUGUGGCUGGGGGUGAAAGGCCAAUCAAACCGGGAGAUAGCUGGUUCUCCCCGAAAGCUAUUUAGGUAGCGCCUCGUGAAUUCAUCUCCGGGGGUAGAGCACUGUUUCGGCUAGGGGGCCAUCCCGGCUUACCAACCCGAUGCAAACUGCGAAUACCGGAGAAUGUUAUCACGGGAGACACACGGCGGGUGCUAACGUCCGUCGUGAAGAGGGAAACAACCCAGACCGCCAGCUAAGGUCCCAAAGUCAUGGUUAAGUGGGAAACGAUGUGGGAAGGCCCAGACAGCCAGGAUGUUGGCUUAGAAGCAGCCAUCAUUUAAAGAAAGCGUAAUAGCUCACUGGUCGAGUCGGCCUGCGCGGAAGAUGUAACGGGGCUAAACCAUGCACCGAAGCUGCGGCAGCGACGCUGAUGCGUUGUUGGGUAGGGGAGCGUUCUGUAAGCCUGCGAAGGUGGCCUGUGAGGGUUGCUGGAGGUAUCAGAAGUGCGAAUGCUGACAUAAGUAACGAUAAAGCGGGUGAAAAGCCCGCUCGCCGGAAGACCAAGGGUUCCUGUCCAACGUUAAUCGGGGCAGGGUGAGUCGACCCCUAAGGCGAGGCCGAAAGGCGUAGUCGAUGGGAAACGGGUUAAUAUUCCCGUACUUGGUGUUACUGCGAAGGGGGGACGGAGAAGGCUAUGUUGGCCGGGCGACGGUUGUCCCGGUUUAAGCGUGUAGGUGUGUGUUCCAGGUA
This 827-nucleotide ribosomal RNA is filed under the name Salmonella enterica subsp. enterica serovar Haifa. Its description in RNAcentral is "partial 23S ribosomal RNA". It matches the Rfam family "Bacterial large subunit ribosomal RNA", at positions 711 to 1538 of the family's 2925-position model. Lineage: Bacteria; Pseudomonadati; Pseudomonadota; Gammaproteobacteria; Enterobacterales; Enterobacteriaceae. The record is from RNAcentral.